Molecule: ribosomal RNA, 300 nt
Filed under: uncultured Thermodiscus sp.
Lineage: Archaea; Thermoproteati; Thermoproteota; Thermoprotei; Acidilobales; Acidilobaceae
Description: partial 16S ribosomal RNA
Rfam family: Bacterial small subunit ribosomal RNA (bases 60-300)
Source: RNAcentral
GGUAUGAGGGGGGCGGCGAGUGCGGUAAAACGAGGGGGGGGGGGGUGGUCCGGGGUUGGUGUGGGUAAAGCGCGUGCAGGCGGCUGAGUGCGCAUGGCGGGAAAGCCCCCGGCGUAACGGGGGAGGGUGUUCGUGUACGGGUGAGCGUGAGGGUAUCGGGGGCGGGUGGAAUUCCCGGUGUAGUGGUGAAAUGCGUAGAGAUCGGGAGGAACACCUGUGGCGAAGGCGGCCAGCUGGGAUACACCUGACGCUGAGAUGCGAAGGCGUGGGGAGCGAACGGGAUUAGAUACCCCGGUGGUC